GGUCAAGUGAAGAAGCGCAUACGGUGGAUGCCUUGGCAGUCAGAGGCGAUGAAAGACGUGGUAGCCUGCGAAAAGCUUCGGGGAGUCGGCAAACAGACUUUGAUCCGGAGAUCUCUGAAUGGGGGAACCCACCUAGGAUAACCUAGGUAUCUUGUACUGAAUCCAUAGGUGCAAGAGGCGAACCAGGGGAACUGAAACAUCUAAGUACCCUGAGGAAAAGAAAUCAACCGAGAUUCCCUUAGUAGUGGCGAGCGAACGGGGAUUAGCCCUUAAGCUUCAUUGAUUUUAGCGGAACGCUCUGGAAAGUGCGGCCAUAGUGGGUGAUAGCCCCGUACGCGAAAGGAUCUUUGAAGUGAAAUCGAGUAGGACGGAGCACGAGAAACUUUGUCUGAACAUGGGGGGACCAUCCUCCAAGGCUAAAUACUACUGACUGACCGAUAGUGAACCAGUACCGUGAGGGAAAGGCGAAAAGAACCCCGGCGAGGGGAGUGAAAAAGAACCUGAAACCGUGUACGUACAAGCAGUGGGAGCACCUUCGUGGUGUGACUGCGUACCUUUUGUAUAAUGGGUCAGCGACUUAUAUUCUGUAGCAAGGUUAACCGUAUAGGGGAGCCGAAGGGAAACCGAGUCUUAACUGGGCGUUAAGUUGCAGGGUAUAGACCCGAAACCCGGUGAUCUAGCCAUGGGCAGGUUGAAGGUUGGGUAACACUAACUGGAGGACCGAACCGACUAAUGUUGAAAAAUUAGCGGAUGACUUGUGGCUGGGGGUGAAAGGCCAAUCAAACCGGGAGAUAGCUGGUUCUCCCCGAAAGCUAUUUAGGUAGCGCCUCGUGAACUCAUCUUCGGGGGUAGAGCACUGUUUCGGCUAGGGGGCCAUCCCGGCUUACCAACCCGAUGCAAACUACGAAUACCGAAGAAUGUUAUCACGGGAGACACACGGCGGGUGCUAACGUCCGUCGUGAAGAGGGAAACAACCCAGACCGCCAGCUAAGGUCCCAAAGUCAUGGUUAAGUGGGAAACGAUGUGGGAAGGCACAGACAGCCAGGAUGUUGGCUUAGAAGCAGCCAUCAUUUAAAGAAAGCGUAAUAGCUCACUGGUCGAGUCGGCCUGCGCGGAAGAUGUAACGGGGCUAAACCAUGCACCGAAGCUGCGGCAGCGACGCUUAUGCGUUGUUGGGUAGGGGAGCGUUCUGUAAGCCGUUGAAGGUGUGCUGUGAGGCAUGCUGGAGGUAUCAGAAGUGCGAAUGCUGACAUAAGUAACGAUAAUGCGGGUGAAAAGCCCGCACGCCGGAAGACCAAGGGUUCCUGUCCAACGUUAAUCGGGGCAGGGUGAGUCGACCCCUAAGGCGAGGCCGAAAGGCGUAGUCGAUGGGAAACAGGUUAAUAUUCCUGUACUUGGUGUUACUGCGAAGGGGGGACGGAGAAGGCUAGGCCAGCUUGGCGUUGGUUGUCCAAGUUUAAGGUGGUAGGCUGAAAUCUUAGGUAAAUCCGGGGUUUCAAGGCCGAGAGCUGAUGACGAGUCGUCUUUUAGAUGACGAAGUGGUUGAUGCCCUGCUUCCAGGAAAAGCCUCUAAGCAUCAGGUAACAUCAAAUCGUACCCCAAACCGACACAGGUGGUCAGGUAGAGAAUACCAAGGCGCUUGAGAGAACUCGGGUGAAGGAACUAGGCAAAAUGGUGCCGUAACUUCGGGAGAAGGUGCGCCGGCUAGGGUGAAGGAUUUACUCCGUAAGCUCUGGCUGGUCGAAGAUACCAGCUGGCUGCAACUGUUUAUUAAAAACACAGCACUGUGCAAACACGAAAGUGGACGUAUACGGUGUGACGCCUGCCCGGUGCCGGAAGGUUAAUUGAUGGGGUUAGCGGCAACGCGAAGCUCUUGAUCGAAGCCCCGGUAAACGGCGGCCGUAACUAUAACGGUCCUAAGGUAGCGAAAUUCCUUGUCGGGUAAGUUCCGACCUGCACGAAUGGCGUAAUGAUGGCCAGGCUGUCUCCACCCGAGACUCAGUGAAAUUGAACUCGCUGUGAAGAUGCAGUGUACCCGCGGCAAGACGGAAAGACCCCGUGAACCUUUACUAUAGCUUGACACUGAACACUGGUCCUUGAUGUGUAGGAUAGGUGGGAGGCUUUGAAGCGUGGACGCCAGUCUGCGUGGAGCCGACCUUGAAAUACCACCCUUUAAUGGCUGGUGUUCUAACGUAGACCCGUAAUCCGGGUUGCGGACAGUGUCUGGUGGGUAGUUUGACUGGGGCGGUCUCCUCCCAAAGAGUAACGGAGGAGCACGAAGGUUAGCUAAUCCUGGUCGGACAUCAGGAGGUUAGUGCAAUGGCAUAAGCUAGCUUGACUGCGAGAGUGACGGCUCGAGCAGGUGCGAAAGCAGGUCAUAGUGAUCCGGUGGUUCUGAAUGGAAGGGCCAUCGCUCAACGGAUAAAAGGUACUCCGGGGAUAACAGGCUGAUACCGCCCAAGAGUUCAUAUCGACGGCGGUGUUUGGCACCUCGAUGUCGGCUCAUCACAUCCUGGGGCUGAAGUAGGUCCCAAGGGUAUGGCUGUUCGCCAUUUAAAGUGGUACGCGAGCUGGGUUUAGAACGUCGUGAGACAGUUCGGUCCCUAUCUGCCGUGGGCGCUGGAGAAUUGAGGGGGGCUGCUCCUAGUACGAGAGGACCGGAGUGGACGAACCUCUGGUGUUCCGGUUGUCACGCCAGUGGCAUUGCCGGGUAGCUAUGUUCGGAAAAGAUAACCGCUGAAAGCAUCUAAGCGGGAAACUUGCCUCAAGAUGAGAUCUCACUGGGAACUUGAUUCCCUGAAGGGCCGUCGAAGACUACGACGUUGAUAGGCUGGGUGUGUAAGCGUUGUGAGGCGUUGAGCUAACCAGUACUAAUUGCCCGUGAGGCUUGACCAU
Molecule: ribosomal RNA, 2895 nt
Filed under: Pseudomonas aeruginosa
Lineage: Bacteria; Pseudomonadati; Pseudomonadota; Gammaproteobacteria; Pseudomonadales; Pseudomonadaceae
Description: 23S ribosomal RNA
Rfam family: Bacterial large subunit ribosomal RNA
Source: RNAcentral